GAGGGUACAGCUCAGUGGUAGAGUGCAUGCUUAGCAUGCACAAGGUCCUGGGUUCAACCCCAGGACCCGCA
RNAcentral lists this transfer RNA (71 nucleotides) under Camelus bactrianus (Bactrian camel). It matches the Rfam family "tRNA". Rfam says of the family: Transfer RNA (tRNA) molecules are approximately 80 nucleotides in length. Their secondary structure includes four short double-helical elements and three loops (D, anti-codon, and T loops). RNAcentral also lists the same sequence under 2 other names. The record is from Rfam by way of RNAcentral. Lineage: Eukaryota; Metazoa; Chordata; Mammalia; Artiodactyla; Camelidae.